Molecule: ribosomal RNA, 469 nt
Filed under: uncultured bacterium
Lineage: Bacteria
Description: partial 16S ribosomal RNA
Rfam family: Bacterial small subunit ribosomal RNA
Source: RNAcentral
GGACGAACGCUGGCGGCGUGCUUAACACAUGCAAGUCGAACGGAAAGGCCCUGCUUUUGUGGGGUGCUCGAGUGGCGAACGGGUGAGUAACACGUGAGUAACCUGCCCUUGACUUUGGGAUAACUUCAGGAAACUGGGGCUAAUACCGGAUAGGAGCUCCUGCUGCAUGGUGGGGGUUGGAAAGUUUCGGCGGUUGGGGAUGGACUCGCGGCUUAUCAGCUUGUUGGUGGGGUAGUGGCUUACCAAGGCUUUGACGGGUAGCCAGCCUGAGAGGGUGACCGGCCACAUUGGGACUGAGAUACGGCCCAGACUCCUACGGGAGGCAGCAGUGGGGAAUAUUGCACAAUGGGCGGAAGCCUGAUGCAGCAACGCCGCGUGCGGGAUGACGGCCUUCGGGUUGUAAACCGCUUUCGCCUGUGACGAAGCGUGAGUGACGGUAAUGGGUAAAGAAGCACCAGCUAACUACGUG